RNAcentral lists this long non-coding RNA (697 nucleotides) under Callithrix jacchus (white-tufted-ear marmoset). RNAcentral's name for it is "lncRNA (ENSCJAG00000081944.1)". Lineage: Eukaryota; Metazoa; Chordata; Mammalia; Primates; Cebidae. The record is from RNAcentral.
AUGCCCACAUCAGAAGUAAAUGGCCUUCCCUGGAGCAGUCUAAAGAUCAGCCAAUCUUUUCCUCAUCCUCUAGCCGCCCUCCCAGAGGAUCCUGGGAGGCGAGGCAGGAACGGCCUGCUUGGGGAGCCAGCGAGUUUGCAGGGCCUUUUCUGCUGCUUCCUGUACCCCGGUAUUUCACUCGGCUCUCUAAAUGGACUCAGCUCCAGGUGAGUUCAGAAUCUUCUGCAAACUAGGCCUUCAGUUUCUGCAGUUGGGGUGUGUGUUCGGGGGCAGAGGAUCUCCCUUUCCCACUUCCCCAGUUUGGGCACUGGCAGUAUUUGGGGUGUCUCCUGGGCCCUGCAGGAGCAGUCUGCUUCCUUCAGAGAGUACUCUCAGGAUUCCUGAUUUAUUCCUGUAGUCAUUCUGGAGCUAAAACUCGUGAUGUGAACCUCCACACACUGCUCUGUCUGUCCAAGUUGGAGCCGCAGUCCAGUCCUGCCUCCCAUCAGCCAUGAUGAGCUCCUUUAAUUUUUUUCUAAUAUGAAUAACCAGUUUUGCUAGAACUAUUUUAUAAAAAGCCCGUCAUAUCCUGCUGGUAUGUAAUACUAAAUCUGUUAUAUAUCAAUUAUCCAUGGAUUUGAGGGUCUGUUUUUCACCCAAUUCUGUUUUCUUAAAUUUAUUGUUAAUGUCAAUAUCUUUAAAUUAUCUUGAAUUACAG